UAUUCGAGUUCAGUAUAUCGCGAGCUUUCGUAGGCAUGGUCCGUGUCUCCUGCACGUAGACACUCGAUCGCGUAUUUACGUUCGCUGUCAUUCAACCUUUAAUCCAAUAAAAAUGGCCAGUGACCCGAUAAAACGUUGAUAAUGGGAUGAUCUUGUGAUUAGUAACGAGUAUGUGGUUAGUUUUCCAUUUAUAAAGUUAUCAGUGGAAAAUGCUGUCGUCGGGGGAUGUGAUUUUGGAAAAAUGCUGAAGGGCUGGAUCGCGAGAUGUUCGCACGUUGGUUUGUUGUGGUCACUUUUCUGGGUGUGCAAUGUAGACGGGCUUAUAGAAAUCGUGGAGGAGCAACGAUGCCACGAUUACAGAUUCCGUUUGACGUGCCGCGACCUAGACACGCACAUAGCUAUACUGGAGGCGUGGUAUACGACGCUGGAAGACUACUACGACACAAACACUACACAUGCGAGUUUAAAAUUAAAAACUGAGAACGAUUCCGAAUUGAAUCGAGUCUAUAUAUAUUCUAGUCCGAAACACAACGGUAUUUAUGAGCCGGCAAACCAUUCCAUAUUUGAAAAUAUUUCCAAUAGUUCACUAGAUUACAACGAAUCGAGUUCAGUUAACGAUUCAUUAACAAACGAUUUGGAUGUGACAGUUGAUUAUGUGAAUAAUAGUGAGUGUGGUGCUGUGACGUUUGCUAGAAGCUACGGGAGUUCGAGGGAGGGGGAUAAGAGACGAGUAGUUGUGGAGAGAAGCUCUUCUAGAAAUUUGAGGGCGCCACUGAGCUAUCGCUGUACGGGCAUAAACCAUUGCAGUUUUGUGCUGGCACAAGAUUAUGCACCAGCUGUGAGCUGGCCGCCCGGCGUUGUCUACAUAAAGUACGCGUGUUUCGAUGAUACCCUCUCGAUACAUUACUGCAACAGAGAGGUGCAGGUUGCAGUAUCGGGGGCUGACAGCGAAGGUUACAUGCGGACACCGGGUUAUCCACAUUUCUACGUCGGGGAGGAGUGUCACUGGCGGAUACGGGUUAACCCUGAGCAACGAAUCCGUCUUACACUAUUAGACGUUAGUUUACGAACAAUUGGCCCAUUCGAAGAGUCGUGUACGGAUUUCAUUGCGGUCGAAGAUUCGAACGGCGAGUCGAUGUUUACGUCUUGCGAUCAGGUGGAACUGCCUCUGAAGCUGCUGUCUACCACCGAUACAGUGGAUGUUACGGUCCAGGUCAAAUCUGAGGGCGCUUACCCAAAGAGAGGCGUUCUUCUUCAUUACAAGAGUAUAGGUUGUGUCACACUACCAGAGCCCUCUGAAGGAUAUUUGGUGUACCGCAACAGCGAUGUAGCUCACUACAUGUGCAAUGUGAAUUACGUUUUCUCCGAUACACGUCAGAGGGCGAGAUUAUUAUGGUGCUAUGAUGACAACAGAUGGAAUGACACUGUGCCUUUGUGUGUUGUAGAGGCGGCUCUAACGGCCGUCGGGAACAAUUCAGAUUCAGGAGGUGACGAGAAAGAUACGAAACUGCCGCCACACGACGAACCCAACAUGAUGGUUGACAUCGUCAUACCAUCACUCCUAAUAGCGGCGCUGUUCAUCGGUAACGCGUUCAUCGUACUUAUCAUAUAUAAGUACAGGAAACGAUUGCCGGUCGACUAACCAUUGCUACUUCGUAAAAGCAAUAAAGAAAAUCAAGCCGAUGAAUACUUAUAGCAAAAAACGAAGAGAUUGACGAUGAGUUCAACACCAUUCCACUGAGCGUCAACGGCAAUGUUCACAGUGCAGGAAACGCAGUUUAGUCAAUAAUAAUAAGUUCGUGGAGAUUACACGAUGAGGAAAUGGUUUGACUUUUUGAUUUUUAUGUACAUUGUUAUCAUUUACAUUAAUAAAUCGUAUAAUGGAUAUACAAUUUUAAGAGCAAUCAUACAGAAGUAUGGUAACGUGUGAUCUAAAACAUUAAACAAUUUUUAAUGUCUUUAAAUGAUUAUUUAAAAACUGUUUUAUUAGCAAAUAAUAAGAUUAUCUUUAAACUGUCAUUGAAAUUUGGAUUUUGCUUAUAAAAAAUAUUUAUUGGCUUCAAUAUUAAAUGAUGGAUAAAUCCAAAAUAUUCUGAGACAAAUUUGUUAUGUAUAGUUAAACAAAAAUUAAUUAUUACAGUCAUUUUUAAACAAUAAUUAAUUGAAAGAAUAAAAAUAAUGUUUGAAUCGUAGUUAAUAUAAUUCAAACAUUAGCAGAAUUUUUAUAAAUGCUCUUAAAUUAUAUCAAUUUCUUUAUCAAAGACAAUAAUAAUAUUUCGUUUAUAUUACGUGUUAACUAAAUGUGCAAUUAUACGUGGAAAGUUACCAGACUUUAUUUUAAUUUUUAUAAUUUUCAUUAGAUGAUGUUACUACAAGUUUCUUUCGUGUGUAAUCUCCACGAUUAAAAAAAAAAAACAUUGGGCAACUGUCAGACCAAUCGCGCGACGAUUAGACGCGUUGUCGGUUUGAUAGCAGCCUUAGGCCUUAAGUUACCCUAUUUAUUUGUUAUUAGACUUCUAGACACGACAUAGUCCAGUGACAUCUUCAAUCUAGACCCCUUAGCGAUUAAGUAAGGACUGAUAACGAUAUAAAUACUCGGUUAAAGUAGUUGACUUUUUUUUCAUCGCACGUCUGUCACUGCCUUCCUUUGUCACCAGUACGUCAAUUAUGUACGAAUUGUUACCGCUUCUAGAUGGUACGACAAUGAAUAUUACGCUAUAGGUAUCCAAUUAUUUCAUUUUGUCUCUAAAUUGUUGAUGUUUUUGUAUGUAUUUGACGGAGUCUGUAUAAAUUCUGUAACGAAUAAAAAGCACUUUAUCUUUA
RNA transcript from Galleria mellonella (greater wax moth), 2823 nucleotides. RefSeq lists it as uncharacterized. Lineage: Eukaryota; Metazoa; Arthropoda; Insecta; Lepidoptera; Pyralidae. The transcript is spliced from 10 exons. The record is from RefSeq and is a predicted model, not a curated record.